Molecule: ribosomal RNA, 59 nt
Filed under: Nigrospora oryzae
Lineage: Eukaryota; Fungi; Ascomycota; Sordariomycetes; Amphisphaeriales; Apiosporaceae
Description: partial 28S ribosomal RNA
Rfam family: Eukaryotic large subunit ribosomal RNA
Source: RNAcentral
UUGACCUCGGAUCAGGUAGGAAUACCCGCUGAACUUAAGCAUAUCAAUAAACGGAGGAA